RNAcentral lists this long non-coding RNA (920 nucleotides) under Ananas comosus (pineapple). RNAcentral's name for it is "long non-coding RNA (ACOM_LNC000860)". Lineage: Eukaryota; Viridiplantae; Streptophyta; Magnoliopsida; Poales; Bromeliaceae. The record is from RNAcentral.
AUGGAACGGGUUGCUCCGAUCUAAACGGGCUGUUCUGUGUUGUUCUGAAAUAAGCCGUUAAAAAUUAUUCCUAGAAAAACUGAGAAUAAUUCUGUUCUUCUCUUUAAUAAUUCUGUUCUUCUCUUUAUUUUAUUAGAUAAAUAGAUAUAUAAAUAAUAUAUUAAAAUAAAUAUUAUUUUUUUGAUAAUAUAUUUAUACUUUAAUUUUAUUAUAUAAUAUAAAUUAAUUAAAAUUGAUAUAUCAUUUAUUUUAUUAAGUUAUAUCAUUUAUAAUUUAAUAUUUAAUUAUUUUAUUUUAUUUUAAGUUUUAUGUAUUAAAAAUUAUUUUUUCAUGUAUUACAUAUAUUUUUUAAUUUGUAUUGAAAUUUAUACUAUUAUUAAUUAAAAUUAUAAGGAUAUUGUUAGUUAUACUUUAUUCAUUGCAUAUAUUAUAAAUUAUAUAAAAUAAUUUAUUACAUAAAAUAAAUUAUUAUAUUUAAUAAAAUAGAUAUACUAUUUUAAAUUAAAUUAUUAUAUGUAAUAUUAUAUUAUAAAUUACAAUAAAAAUAAUUUUAUAAAUAUUUUUAUAAAAAAAUAUACUAAUAUAAAUGAAUUAUUUUAUUUUUAAAGAUAUAUUUAGAUAUUGUUUUAGACUUUUUAUCCAAACGUUACUAAGGAUAUUCUCUAAAAUAUCUCAGAAUGCAUCAAAACACAAAUUUACAAUUGUUCUAUCUUGUAUCGAAAUAUUUCCUGCUAUCGGGAACAACAAAAGUGUUCUUCAAAAUUUAGUUCUUCAACAAAACACAGCUUUAUUCAUUUAUAUGAGUUGAGCUGAAUACUCCUAAAAGCACCAGUCUGUUGGUGCUUUUAGGUUUCUAGCUCUUAGGUCCACCGCUUGAUUAUUAUUAACUUUUAGAUCAAAUACUACACCUACCACCUCUC